Molecule: transfer RNA, 77 nt
Filed under: Desulfocurvibacter africanus
Lineage: Bacteria; Pseudomonadati; Thermodesulfobacteriota; Desulfovibrionia; Desulfovibrionales; Desulfovibrionaceae
Also listed under: 2 other names
Description: tRNA-Arg
Rfam family: tRNA
About the family: Transfer RNA (tRNA) molecules are approximately 80 nucleotides in length. Their secondary structure includes four short double-helical elements and three loops (D, anti-codon, and T loops). Further hydrogen bonds mediate the characteristic L-shaped molecular structure. tRNAs have two regions of fundamental functional importance: the anti-codon, which is responsible for specific mRNA codon recognition, and the 3' end, to which the tRNAs corresponding amino acid is attached (by aminoacyl-tRNA synthetases). tRNAs cope with the degeneracy of the genetic code in two manners: having more than one tRNA (with a specific anti-codon) for a particular amino acid; and 'wobble' base-pairing, i.e. permitting non-standard base-pairing at the 3rd anti-codon position.
Source: RNAcentral
GCGCCCGUAGCUCAGCUGGAUAGAGCAUCGGACUUCGAAUCCGACGGUCGGGAGUUCGAAUCUCUCCGGGCGCACCA